UGGAGGCGUAGGCUCAGGGGUGGGACCAGGAGCUCCGCUUCCGGUGGCAGGGUCUGGGGAAGGGGCGGCAGGCGCCAUGUCCGGCCGCGAAGGUGGCAAGAAGAAGCCGCUGAAGCAGCCCAAGAAGCAGUCCAGGGAGAUGGACGAGGACGAAAAGGCAUUCAAGCAGAAGCAAAAAGAGGAGCAGAAG
Hipposideros armiger (great roundleaf bat) is the source of this 190-nucleotide long non-coding RNA. RefSeq lists it as uncharacterized. The transcript has 3 exons. Lineage: Eukaryota; Metazoa; Chordata; Mammalia; Chiroptera; Hipposideridae. The record is from RefSeq and is a predicted model, not a curated record.